UUCAGAAAAAGAAUGGGCCGGAACAAUGAAAAGGUUAAGGAUAAAAAGAAGGAGAGGAAGAUGAUGAGUGAAAGAAUGAAUGUCGGCUGGGCUAACGUGAAGAAGGCAAACUCCCAGACUGACCCUCUCGAUUCUCUGCCUUCAUUUAGGAAGAUAAAUAAAAAUGGAAUGAGUUUAAAUCUCGAGACAGCGAGAGCUACUGAGUUAAAUGAAGACACGAAGGAUUGGAUGUUUAAACUUCUAGAAUCCAACAUGAAGACUGCAUAUCAAAAGUCUGACUGGGGUUGGAAUGAAGGAAACAAGAAGGCUGAACUAUUUGAAGAAGCAGCCUGGUUCUUGAUUGCGCGGAAUGAUGAUGGAACUCCCAUUGCCUUUUCCCACUUCAGGUUUGAUAUGGAUUUUGAUGAUGAUGUGCUGUACUGCUACGAGAUACAACUAGAACCUGAGGUCCGAAGGAAGGGUUUAGGUCGCGUGAUGAUGAAAGUUCUCGAACUGAUAAUGAUGAAGGCAGACAUGAUAAAGAUCAUGCUUACAGUAUUUAAGCACAACGAGGCUGCUACCACCUUCUUCAAGAAAAGUUUGAAGUAUGAUGUGGAUGAAACAUGUCCGUACAAUACCAUCUACGAACAGUUUGAUUAUGAGAUUUUGUCCAGGUUUAAUCCUAAAAGAAAGGUGGAAGAUAACUCUGAAAAUAUUCCUCUCAACUAGUAUUCUACUCUUCUACACUAGAAACACAAACAAUUCUUAUGUACGAGUGCCGACCCGCACAGUAUUUAACCUUGCAGGGAGUACAACAUACGAUUCUAAUCAAUAGUGACCUUGUUUUGUACUAAAUCACUUAAAAACUAGUUGUAAAUAUCUGACUAAUAUCUCGAUGGUUUAGAACAUGUUGUUUCCCCGUAAAACAGGCAUUUGCCAUUAUUUGUGUCUCGCAUUGAAACUUUUAUUUUUUUAUUUUGAAAUUCAAGGUUUAAGAAUUCAUGGAUUCAUCAAAUUAAACUAUAUAUUAGUUUUCUAGAGAAUUUAUAAAUAAAUAGUACCCCAGCAGGGAUAGGGUUAAACAAUAUCAAUAACGCUUUCAUAGUUCCUAGGAAAUAUAUUUUUUUUUUACUUUUAA
Molecule: RNA transcript, 1117 nt
Organism: Eurytemora carolleeae
Lineage: Eukaryota; Metazoa; Arthropoda; Copepoda; Calanoida; Temoridae
Gene name: N-alpha-acetyltransferase 40
Exons: 10
Source: RefSeq, a predicted model, not a curated record